RNAcentral lists this ribosomal RNA (433 nucleotides) under Streptomyces sp. iMSN04. RNAcentral describes it as "bacterial SSU rRNA". It matches the Rfam family "Bacterial small subunit ribosomal RNA", at positions 8 to 445 of the family's 1533-position model. The record is from RNAcentral. Lineage: Bacteria; Bacillati; Actinomycetota; Actinomycetes; Kitasatosporales; Streptomycetaceae.
AGAGUUUGAUCCUGGCUCAGGACGAACGCUGGCGGCGUGCUUAACACAUGCAAGUCGAACGAUGAAGCCUUUCGGGGUGGAUUAGUGGCGAACGGGUGAGUAACACGUGGGCAAUCUGCCCUUCACUCUGGGACAAGCCCUGGAAACGGGGUCUAAUACCGGAUAAUACUUUCUCUCUCAUGGGGGAAGGUUAAAAGCUCCGGCGGUGAAGGAUGAGCCCGCGGCCUAUCAGCUAGUUGGUGGGGUAAUGGCCUACCAAGGCGACGACGGGUAGCCGGCCUGAGAGGGCGACCGGCCACACUGGGACUGAGACACGGCCCAGACUCCUACGGGAGGCAGCAGUGGGGAAUAUUGCACAAUGGGCGAAAGCCUGAUGCAGCGACGCCGCGUGAGGGAUGACGGCCUUCGGGUUGUAAACCUCUUUCAGCAGGGA